Non-coding RNA from Heterocephalus glaber (naked mole-rat), 1050 nucleotides. NCBI's taxonomy places the organism in Eukaryota, Metazoa, Chordata, Mammalia, Rodentia, Bathyergidae. The record is from RefSeq and is a predicted model, not a curated record.
UCUGCAAGGCAAGGCCACACCCCUUCUACGGGGCUCAGCAGCUUUGAGAAUCCUCCCUGACCAUCAGGCCCUCCGUCAGCAGUGUUCUCCCCAGGCCAUCUGGAUUUCAGAUGACGGUUCCCCGGACAUCAUGAUUUGCAGCUUUAUAGGUUGAAGUGCUGGAGCUACUGAAUAAAGCACUGUGUCUCCUUCCACAUGUAUCACAUUCCAGUCCAAAGGUAGUGUGGACUUGUAACAUCUUGUAAAUCUCCUCAAGAUUCUUGUCCUGAAUAAUAUGGACAGAGCAGUCACUUUGAAAGAAAGAGCUAUAAACACUAGGAGCUGUUAACUCUCAAGACCUCCAGAGACCAGGAGCUGAGGAAGAACAGCCACAGAGACCAGCACCAGCAGAGCUGACUGAAAACAUCCAGUGUUAACUGGUGUCUACUAGGGGCAUCAGGGCUGCUAGCAGAGCCACACUUUGCCAGUUCAUGACUUUUAUCUGAAUGGAGUAAAAGAACCCUUGGUUGAUUAAUGACAUUUUCUCUGUACAGCACAUCACAGCCUUGUACAUAGAUAGUUAGAUAACACUUCAACACUACGCUUGGAGUCCAUUCCAGUGAAAUCAUCCUCAAAAAGCAUCAAAAGGCAAACAAACAAAAAAAUCAAAAGUACGGUCCUAAGUAGACUGUGAAAAAGAGAAGUUUACAACAGGAGAGCUGAAACCAGGAGGGAGUCAUCCUGCCUGACCUCAGCUGGGGCCAAGUGCACCUGAUGACUCAAAUGUCCCCCUCCUCUUGUAUGUCUGUAAAUGACCACAAAGCUCAGCAAGUAUCGAUUUGGGUUUAUAAAUUUUAGCGAGUAGGAGGAAUGACUGUAUAGGCAACACGAUGAUUUUUCCUGAAAGCACAUAUAACAAGUUUUUCCCUUGGGCUCUGUUCCUAGGGUAACCUCUAUCCUGUUUCUAACCCCAUGAAUUAGUCUAUUUUUCACAUUAUAUCAAUAGAAGUGUGAGUUUUACACUGUUGUAUGUCUGGCUUCUUUGGUUCAAUAUUGUUAUUCACUAUAUUG